UUAGGUUUCUGCUCAAAUCUCACUUUGGUUAGAUUAAACCUGAUUUGUCUGUUGGCGAUCAGCAGCCAGGGACAUUUCUUUCCCCUGUGCAGCUGACCAUCAUUGCCAGUUAUCUACCCCCCACCCCCAUCUAGAACAGUGAUCAGCAACCUUUCAUUCAGGGAAUUUGCAUCCUUUGCUUCUGCUUCUCUCUGCCUUAUUUGUUCUGCUCUUCCCUGGGCAAUAGCAGUGGCUGUUGACCCGAGGUGGCAGUGCCUGGGCUGAGUGCCUGGGACCAUGCAGUGUGGUCCCCGAGCUCUUUGUGCUCAUGAAUCCCGUAUGGACCAAUGUGUGGAGAACACCUCCAGUGAGCUCUCACCUCCUGGAGAUGCUGCAUAGCUAAUCCAGCACCAGCAGGACCCUUCCUACCCUGGUGUAGGGAAGGGGAAUAUGCUUACUCAACCUGCAACUGGCUAUGCUAUUUCCCCCCCUUGUGCUCAUGGCAUGGGUACAGAAGCACCCUGUGAGCUGAGCCCUGCUGAAGUCACCACUGCUGGAGGAAUCUCAAGGGAUACUGCAGCAGCUGGUGAAGCAAAACCAUCCCGGUCUUGCCUGCUAUGUGUUCACUGUGACCCUCCACCAUUGUGGCAGCUGAGAGGCUGGUGUGAGGAGCUGGUCUGUACCAAAGCAUGGAACCCCUCUGUGAGCUGCCCAAAACCACCUCAGUCCCAAAGG
Anas platyrhynchos (mallard) is the source of this 714-nucleotide non-coding RNA. The record is from RefSeq and is a predicted model, not a curated record. Lineage: Eukaryota; Metazoa; Chordata; Aves; Anseriformes; Anatidae.